GACGAACGCUGGCGGCGUGCCUAAUACAUGCAAGUAGAACGCACAGUUUAUACCGUAGCUUGCUACACCAUAGACUGUGAGUUGCGAACGGGUGAGUAACGCGUAGGUAACCUGCCUGGUAGCGGGGGAUAACUAUUGGAAACGAUAGCUAAUACCGCAUAAUAUUGAUUAUUGCAUGAUAAUUGAUUGCAAGAUGCUAUUGCAUCACUACCAGAUGGACCUGCGUUGUAUUAGCUAGUAGGUGAGGUAACGGCUCACCUAGGCGACGAUACAUAGCCGAACUGAGAGGGUGAUCGGCCAAACUGGGACUGAGACACGGCCCAGACUCCUACGGGAGGCAGCAGUAGGGAAUCUUCGGCAAUGGACGAAAGUCUGACCGAGCAACGCCGCGUGAGUGAAGAAGGGUUUCGGAUCGUAAAGCUCUGUUGUAAGAGAAGAACGGGUGUGAGAGUGGAAAGUUCACACUGUGACGGUAUCUUACCAGAAAGGGACGGCUAACUACGUG
RNAcentral lists this ribosomal RNA (505 nucleotides) under uncultured bacterium. Its description in RNAcentral is "partial 16S ribosomal RNA". It matches the Rfam family "Bacterial small subunit ribosomal RNA", at positions 28 to 507 of the family's 1533-position model. The record is from RNAcentral.